CUAGCGUAUCAAGUCUGCUAUAUAUAUAUGGUCGGAACGUCUGGUAGCAUCUCUGGCUGCUGUUGACCUUGUUUUUGGAGUAAAACACGGUGGAAGCUGAAUUAGUGAGGAUGACUCCUGCUCCUGUCAUCUCUAAGCUCCUCACACAUCUUUACCUGCACAUGAGGAAAAUCACUCCUGUAGAAUGCAGAUGUUCAGAGGGAGAUGAUGCCACAUCUGGUCCAGCUGAUGGAAGGUCUUGAAGUUCUCUGACUGGCCUCGACUGAAGAUGGUCGUCUCACUGGAUUUAAGAUGCACAAUGAGGGACGUCUGCAGAGACUGAGAAAGAGUCUCACCACAUCCUGACAUGAGGAAAAAGACUUUAUUGAAGACUACAAUGAGAAAAACUAUCAGACAGCAGACGGCUGCAUUCAAGUCUGUAGCUGCUGAAUUCAUGGAUGAAUCAUCUGGUACUAGAGAGGAAGACCAUCAAACAUCCACGUCAGCUGAUGGAGGUCCAAGAGUCUCACCAAACAAACAACCUACAGAGUGAAGACCUCAAAUCUGAUUGGACGGCCUCCUAUUCAGCCACAUUUUAGGCUGUUAGAUUGUUCCAGAUAAGACGAGUACAAGAUUCUUCAGAGCCGUUCUACCACGAGCCUGACAGGAAGAACUCCAACAGCUACUGAAUGUUCCUGUGGUUCCGUCAAGGCUACAGGAGGAGCCCUAUGAGGACGAGCCGGUCCACCUGAUGGUGGCCAGUCGCUGCGGUUCAAAGCCAACACUGACUACGUGGACUUCUACUGGACCACACGGAGGCCUUCAAACCGGACCAACAAGUUCAGUGACUCCCCGACUCAUGGGUCUGAGGACGCCGCCGAGCCUCGGUCCAGCCGGCCUCCUGUCUGUGGGUGUUUGAGUGCUGAGAGGUUUGUGGAUGUAUGUGAACGUUCUGUGUUGAAACAGCAGCUUUGGACUCAGUAACGCCGGGAAAAACCAAGAGCUCCUUUAUUUGUGACUUCCACUAAAAAACUGAUGAAAAUAAGUUUGGCAGGGUUCUGACUGAUAACAG
Molecule: long non-coding RNA, 1051 nt
Organism: Amphiprion ocellaris (clown anemonefish)
Lineage: Eukaryota; Metazoa; Chordata; Actinopteri; Pomacentridae
Source: Ensembl